RNAcentral lists this ribosomal RNA (465 nucleotides) under Vreelandella stevensii. RNAcentral's name for it is "partial 16S ribosomal RNA". It matches the Rfam family "Bacterial small subunit ribosomal RNA", at positions 338 to 795 of the family's 1533-position model. The record is from RNAcentral. Lineage: Bacteria; Pseudomonadati; Pseudomonadota; Gammaproteobacteria; Oceanospirillales; Halomonadaceae.
CCUACGGGCGGCUGCAGUGGGGAAUAUUGGACAAUGGGGGGAACCCUGAUCCAGCCAUGCCGCGUGUGUGAAGAAGGCCCUCGGGUUGUAAAGCACUUUCAGUGAGGAAGAACGCCUGGUGGUUAAUACCCAUCAGGAAAGACAUCACUCACAGAAGAAGCACCGGCUAACUCCGUGCCAGCAGCCGCGGUAAUACGGAGGGUGUGAGCGUUAAUCGGAAUUACUGGGCGUAAAGCGCGCGUAGGUGGCUUGAUAAGCCGGUUGUGAAAGCCCCGGGCUCAACCUGGGAACGGCAUCCGGAACUGUCAAGCUAGAGUGCAGGAGAGGAAGGUAGAAUUCCCGGUGUAGCGGUGAAAUGCGUAGAGAUCGGGAGGAAUACCAGUGGCGAAGGCGGCCUUCUGGACUGACACUGACACUGAGGUGCGAAAGCGUGGGUAGCAAACAGGAUUAGAUACCCGAGUAGUC